Small nuclear RNA from Physeter macrocephalus (sperm whale), 102 nucleotides. The record is from Ensembl. Lineage: Eukaryota; Metazoa; Chordata; Mammalia; Artiodactyla; Physeteridae.
GUUCUUGCUUGGGAGGCACAUAUACUAAAGUUGGAAUGAUACAGAGAAGAUUAGCAUUGCCCCUGUGCAAGGAUGACACAAAUUCAUGAAGAGUAAGUAUUA